This 282-nucleotide ribosomal RNA is filed under the name uncultured bacterium. RNAcentral's name for it is "partial 16S ribosomal RNA". It matches the Rfam family "Bacterial small subunit ribosomal RNA", at positions 28 to 334 of the family's 1533-position model. The record is from RNAcentral.
GAUGAACGCUACGCGGAUAGGCUUAACACAGUGCAAGUCGAACGGUCCUUCGGGAGUAGUGGCGGAACGGGUCGAGUAACACGUGGGAACGUACCCUUAGGCUCGGAACAACACAGGGAAACUUGUGCUAAUACCGGAUAAGCCCUUCGGGGGAAAGAUUUAUCGCCUUUGGAGCGGCCCGCGUCUGAUUAGCUUGUUGGUGAGGUAAUGGCUCACCAAGGCUACGAUCAGUAGCUGGUCUGAGAGGAUGGCCAGCCACACUGGGACUGAGACACGGCCCAG